GCAGGUGUGGCGGAAUGGUAGACGCAUACGGUUCAGAACUGUAUGGGCUUUGCCCGUAGAGGUUCAACUCCUCUCACCUGCA
This 82-nucleotide transfer RNA is filed under the name Candidatus Gottesmanbacteria bacterium. RNAcentral's name for it is "tRNA-Leu". It matches the Rfam family "tRNA". From Rfam's summary of the family: Transfer RNA (tRNA) molecules are approximately 80 nucleotides in length. Their secondary structure includes four short double-helical elements and three loops (D, anti-codon, and T loops). Further hydrogen bonds mediate the characteristic L-shaped molecular structure. tRNAs have two regions of fundamental functional importance: the anti-codon, which is responsible for specific mRNA codon recognition, and the 3' end, to which the tRNAs corresponding amino acid is attached (by aminoacyl-tRNA synthetases). tRNAs cope with the degeneracy of the genetic code in two manners: having more than one tRNA (with a specific anti-codon) for a particular amino acid; and 'wobble' base-pairing, i.e. permitting non-standard base-pairing at the 3rd anti-codon position. The record is from RNAcentral. Lineage: Bacteria; Candidatus Gottesmaniibacteriota.